UACUUUCCAUGUUUCAAGCACGUCUUUCGACGGCCUCAGCAUAUAAAAUCCAUUACAUAACUAGGGAUAAAAGUGAAGAGUCUCGUUUUCGUGUGUUUAUGAACCUCGGCUACACCUCUGAUCAGCAAAAUUCACACAAAAACUCUACUUUUCAUCUUUUUGUUUCUAGACAUGCAAUAGU
This is a long non-coding RNA of Bradysia coprophila, 181 nucleotides long. Lineage: Eukaryota; Metazoa; Arthropoda; Insecta; Diptera; Sciaridae. The record is from RefSeq and is a predicted model, not a curated record.